Molecule: long non-coding RNA, 5410 nt
Organism: Erpetoichthys calabaricus (reedfish)
Lineage: Eukaryota; Metazoa; Chordata; Cladistia; Polypteriformes; Polypteridae
Exons: 3
Source: RefSeq, a predicted model, not a curated record
AGAUAUCUACAUAUACCAUUGUUGAUGAUUCUGCAUGUUGCAUAUGUAUUUCCAGAAGACAUUUGUCAAGAAGUUGGAAAAGAUGUUCUGCUUCCGUGUGCUUUCCCAGUGUCAGAGUUUGAAAAAAGUUCGAAAAAUAUUAUUUGGAGAAAAUCACCAGAAAUUAUUGUGUACAUUUCUAAUGAGAAACAUCUUAUAGAUCAGCAUUAUAGAAAUCGAGCUGAGUUAUCUCAGACACUUUCAAGAAAUGCUUCAUUACAUUUGUAUAAUAUCAGCAAAGCAGGUGAAGGAACUUACAAGUGCUUUCUUGACCAUACAACAUUAUCUCAUGAAGUAAAACUUACUGUUAAAGAGCCAAUAACAACCACUGAGAGCACCGCAAGAAAUCAGGAUCUUAUAGCACCUGGAAACAGCAGUGUGAAAAUAAUCUUAGAAAACAGUCUUGCACUGUCUAUUUUUGUAUUGUUUCUUCUGCAGUAUUUAGGAUAAUAAUCAGCUGUUAUUUUAAAGGUACACUCAAUUUUUUUAUAAUAUAAAAUGAAAAAUUAAUUGUAAUUAGACAUUCAUUGAAAAUUUGAUGUAUGGCCUAAAGUUGCAUCAGAGGAUGGCAUCAUAGAGUGGAUUCAUUAUUUGAUUAUUUUCUGGUGCUUAAUGUGGCUCAGUCAGCUUAGGAGCAUAGCAAAGUUUGUUUGUUUCAGCUGUAUUGUCCAAGGUGCCAUAGAGCAAAAGCAAACAAACCUUUACUGAAACUUAAAAGCAGUAGCCAUACAUUGACUGUAGAUACAAAAGAUACAACUGCUAAUGUUUCAUAUUUAAGAAAAGUCAAUGAAAAGUAGACAGAGAACAUAGUUUACAAGCAGAUUCUCAGAUCCUGGGAAUUACACUUCAAACUGUCACCAGCUAUGAAACCUCACUUAAAAGGUUUUAGGAACAUGUAAUACUGGACACACUUAGAGACCUUCAAACACAGUGGCAGAACUCCGGAGAUGAGUUCAUCCUUUUACCCUUGGGUUUCACCGUUUUGAGGAGGAAGGCUGCAGGUGAUGUCCUCCAAGGCUCACUGUGGCUUAUAUUCCUAUUGUGUACAACAUCAUGAAAAGCUAAGAGUGUAGAAAGUCUGGAGUAUAUAAAUAAAAGUACAAAAUUCACCAGCUUCUAAAGUCGGCCUGUGAUGACCUGCAGUGAUGGCAGAGGUGGGUAGAGUAGCCAAAAAUUGUACUCAAGUAAGAGUAGCGUUACUUCAAAAUAAUAUUACUCAAGUAGAAGUAAAAAGUAGUCAUCUAAAAAAUAACUCAAGCAAGAGUAAAAAAGCAUUUGGUGAAAAGACAACUCAAGUGCUGAGUAACUGUUUGAUCAUAAUAAAUGAUUUAUUUUUUAGAAAUGUUGUAAUAAGACAGACAAAAAUAUAAAAUAAUGUGCAAAUUCUGCUAUUUCCAAAUAAUAAAAUAAAAAAUGAGUAAAAAUAAAUAACAUCUUUACAAAAUUAAGAUGCACAAAUAACACAAAGUUCCAAAUCUCAGUUUUUCACAACAAAGAUUUUGAAGCCGAUACCUACAGUAGGUAACAUGUAUGUUUGAACAGUGCAAAGUACUUACAGUGAUGAGAGCUACUGUACACUGACAGUAGAAUACUGCAUAGUCACUUGCCAUCCAAAUAGCACAGCAGAUAGAAAAUAACAUUAGAACAAGGCAGCUUGUGCACGUCCAACAAGUCUCACUUUACCUCGACUGUCUGUGUCUGUGUAUGUUCAGUUAAAACCUGCUUGUUCUUCGCUCCGUGAAGUGAUGGUUAAGCUUCAGCAGGAGUUGGCUCUCAUUUUUCAUGUAUUCUUUCUUUCCCUGUCCACUGUCUAUGAGGAGUUUGUGCCGCUAUGCUGCCACAGUUUGUGUGUGGUCAUGUGACUGCAUGGCUACGUCUGAAUGGUGAAACGGAGUCUUGUGAUUAUUGUCGCUAUGUCUGAGUGGUGAAACAGUCAUGCAGUAGAUCCACUGGCAACUUCUCUCUGGCAAAAAUCUAGUGUAUCUAAUGGAAAAAAAGGAACGAUUCGAGUGUUGCCCAAUGUAGUGGAGUAAGAGUAGCGUUUCUUCUUCACAAAUGUACUCAAGAAAAAGUAAAAAGUGCUGUGCAGUAAAACUACUCUUACAAGUAUAAUUUAUAUAAAAAGUUACUCAAGUAAAUGUAAUGGAGUAAAUGUAACUCGUUACUACCCAUCUCUGAGUGAUGGUCACCUUUCUUUAUCCAAGAGCAUUAAUAGUCAUGACAGAGGAUGGACCAGGGCAAGUGAGCAAACGAGUGAGGCUUACUUUUUAAAAGUGAAGCAGGUUGUAGCAAAAUCAGUAGAAUUAAAGCAGGGCUGUCUUACCAGCCACAUAGGCUCCCUGGCAAAGUAAUGUACUGGGGCCCCUGUUUUGACAGCAAAAUACAAAUAUACAUAGGCAUCAGAAACAUCGUGGGCCCCUAUGCUCUUGGGGCCUUUGGCCAGUGGCCAUUAUGCUCAUACAUGAAGACGGCCCUGAAUUAAAGUGUUUCUAAAGAGAUGUGCAAAACAGUGUAUACAUUUAGUAAGCCAUUUCAGUAAAUUAUUCUUUAAAAAAAAUCCAUGCCUUCAAACAAAAGCAGUGUCUUAAGGUGAUUAACUGAAAAGGAAAUCCAAAUAAUCACAUUUAAAACCACGUGUUCUCUUGAAAGACAGUUUUCCGCUGUUAGAAUGUCCAAAUAGAUGCACCAAAUACAGCCUGCUAUAUCCCAAUUUACCUUGUGGAGUAACAACUGCCACUUCAUCCAGUCACUGCACUUCCCCGGAGCUGCCACCUCUGACAGUCACCGGAGUUUCUUGCCCUCUCGAUGGAGCCCACCAUGCAUCACAGCGAAACCCAACCAUCCUUCUGGUAUGCUCAAAUGUCUUGUUCUGAUUGUCUCCAAUUUGACUGACAGGCUUAAAGAGGGACAAUUCAGCUUUCCAAUGUUGUGCUGAUCAGAAGAUAGGACAAUCUCAAUGUCGAUACUAAAGUGUCCUCUUUCACUUGCCAACAAUUGGACUGCCUGUUUGUAAAUGAAAAUGAUGGGCUGGUCAUUCAGCAUUCAGCUUCUGCUCUUUACAGCAAGGUAGUCUGUGCCUUUCUACUUCCUAUUGAUUGUGAGAGAUUGAUAAAGAAGUCACAGCUUGUUGUCUUUUUUAAAUGCUACAGGCAGUAACUUAGAGAGAAAUAAAAGUAAUAGCGUACUUCAAAAAACUACAGGAUGAGCCAAAAAGAAGUACCACAUUUCAAACGUUUAUUCCACAAAAAUGCUACAAGAUAAAAUACAUUUCAUUACGACACAAGAAAGGGUAUACAAAAUAGAUUUUUUUCCACUUUGUUUUAAAAACCAUGUCGUUAAGGUGGUGGCCAUCAUUAGCGAUUCACUCUUCAAGAUGAUUUCUGAACACUUGCAUGACUCGUUUGGCCAUUUCAUGGCGAAUAGCGUCCUUGAGGGCUUCAAGGUUUUGAGGUUGGUCUGUGUAUACCUUCAACUUCAGAUAACCCCACAAGAAGAAAUCGCAUGGAGCGAGAUCAGGCGAACAUAAAGGCUACCUGACAGGGAGAUCAGCUUCCCUGGAAACAACUUGCAUGGGUCUCCACGCCGCAGGAGCUGUUUCUCCAUCACGCUGAAACCAGGCAUCCACCACAUCCAUUUGUUCCAUUUUGCAAUAAGGUCUCUAGCAGUUCAAUGUAACAUUCUGAAGUGAUCGUGACCAUUGCUCAAAAAAGUAAAGGUCUACAAUGCCAAUUUCUGCAACAGCGCACCAAACUGUAACAUGUUGACUGUGCAGGAGUCUCUGAUGAAGUUCACGAGGGUUGGUUUCAAUCCAAUAGCAAUGCUUAUUUAUGCAAACAUUCAAAUGGACAGGCCCUGUCUUAGGUAUUAUGGGGCCCUAGGCGAAAGGGGGGUCCAGGGGCCCCCUGAGGGGGGCAGAGCCCCCCUGGAAGCUCUGCGAAAUGCGUGAAAAUUAGACCAAGGAGACAUACUGACAGACAGGGGUUUCGUUCGUUCUCGCAACUCAGAUUGCGGUUCUGCCUUCCCGCUCCCGUGCCACCUGCUGCCACUGACGAGGUGGAAGGAUUUAUGAGAUCUUGACUUCUUCUUUCUUCUUCGACGAAUGAUGAUGAGGGCUGAUUCACUGAUGUGAACGUUCGACCCAUAGAGAUCUUGACUCAAACCGCUCCGCUUUUAUAAACAGCCGCCCACGCGGACACGCCCCCGCUGGCCCACGUGAUUUAAACAUGCGAGUUGAGGGGCGGGUCGGGGGCCUGGCCGCCGUCGAUCCGGGGCCCUAGGCGGUCGCCUACUUCGCCUAUGCCUAAGGCCGGGCCUGAAAUGGAAAUGUGUCUCGUCGCUGCACUUGACAAUGGUAUCUCGAUGAACAAUUUGUAGAAUGUUGGCCCACAACUAUCUAUGGCUCUCCCAGUGUCUCUUACUGAGUUCCUGCACUGCCAUCAUUUUGUAUGGAUGGAAAUUAAGGUCCUCAUGCAAAAUCCUCCUCAAAGAUGUUUUGGAAAUGCCUAAGGCAGAAGCAGGUUUGCACGCUGAAUGUCGAGGAGACUGCAAAAUUGAUGCCCUAACAGCUUGGAUGUUUUCAGGCAUUCGUACAGUCCGAGGAUGGCCUGGAAAUUUUCAGUUCAAUGUUAUACCCGUCUGUCUAAAUUUAGCCAUCCACUGAAGAAUUGUUUUCCGAUUUGGGACGUCACCGUUGGGAGGAAUACUGAAGUGCAUUCAGAAGGUGCAUUGUGUAGUGAUGAUGGAUUCGUUGUUUUUGGAGAACACCUUGACAGUGAAAGCAAUGGUGAGCACCGGACCAAGGCAUGUUGACGACUGAAAACUACAAGGGACCACCUAUCAAAGGACCAGUUCCUCCACCCCAACCCACUCGGCUGCCUCUACCUCACAUAAUAACCUUGAGAAAUGUGCUACUUCAUUUUGGCUCACCCUGUAAAAGUAGACCUGUUGAUUGCAGAUAUUUCAUAACCAUUUUUUUAGUUGUACCUGACACUAUUAGUGAUACUUUUGAGAAACGCAUUCCAUCACUAAUAACAUUCAAAGUGCAUUUUUUGGUAAAAAUGUUACUGAAUUGUGUAAUGUAUUCUGCUGUAAUAUAUGUAUGUAAUAUAACUAGUUCUACAGAAAUAAGAAUUCUAAAAGAGAAACGUCUACUCUGUAUUGUGAAGUGAAGUAUGAUGAAUUUAUAACCAGUUAAAUCAAAGUAGCAGAAAAGGGCUAAAAGUGAGGCCCCUUUAGGUUAAAAACAGUCACUGGUUACCUCCAGAAACUCCUGCUCUUGUGCUCCGCUAUGUGUAAGGCUAGGCCAGUUACUAUUUGAGUACUGUAUCUUUUUAAGCUUGCUUUUUUAAUAUUAAACAAUAUGUUUUUGAGA